AGGUGUGUGUUCAGGCCGUGUGACUCAUUGUUUGUAAUUAGAGAGCACACAGGCUAAAGACACAGGCGUGUGUCCAGACCGUGUGACUCACUGUUUGUGAUUAGAGGGUACACGGGUCAGAGACACGGGCGUAUACCUAGGCUGUGUGACUCAUUGUUUGUGAUUUAGGACCACAUGGGCAGACAACACGGGCAUGUGUCAGGCUGUGUAAGACACACAGCUGGGCACACGGACGUGUGGGUCAAGCUUGGAAUUAUUU
Molecule: long non-coding RNA, 259 nt
Filed under: Gossypium barbadense (sea-island cotton)
Lineage: Eukaryota; Viridiplantae; Streptophyta; Magnoliopsida; Malvales; Malvaceae
Description: long non-coding RNA (GBAR_LNC007467)
Source: RNAcentral